UAGCCAGGCUGAAGGACCUCA
Molecule: microRNA, 21 nt
Filed under: Canis lupus familiaris (dog)
Lineage: Eukaryota; Metazoa; Chordata; Mammalia; Carnivora; Canidae
Description: cfa-miR-8844
Source: miRBase by way of RNAcentral